GAUGAACGCUAGCGAUAGGCCUAACACAUGCAAGUCGAGGGGCAUCACAUGAAGUAGCAAUACGGAUGGUGGCGACCGGCGCACGGGUGAGUAACACGUAUGCAACCUGCCUUCAACAAGGGGAUAACCCGUUGAAAGACGGACUAAUACCCUAUAACACAGGGGUCCCGCAUGGGAAUAUUUGUUAAAGGACAACCGGUUGAAGAUGGGCAUGCGUUCCAUUAGCUAGUUGGCGGGGUAACGGCCCACCAAGGCAACGAUGGAUAGGGGAACUGAGAGGUUUAUCCCCCACACUGGUACUGAGACACGGACCAGACUCCUACGGGAGGCAGCAGUGAGGAAUAUUGGUCAAUGGACGCAAGUCUGAACCAGCCACGUCGCGUGAAGGAAGACGGCCCUACGGGUUGUAAACUUCUUUUAUACGGGAAUAAAGUGCCCCACGCGUGGGGUUUUGCAUGUACCGUAUGAAUAAGGAUCGGCUAACUCCGUGCCAGCAGCCGCGGUAAGUACGCAGCG
This 516-nucleotide ribosomal RNA is filed under the name uncultured bacterium. RNAcentral's name for it is "bacterial SSU rRNA". It matches the Rfam family "Bacterial small subunit ribosomal RNA", at positions 28 to 532 of the family's 1533-position model. The record is from RNAcentral.